This 485-nucleotide ribosomal RNA is filed under the name uncultured bacterium. Its description in RNAcentral is "partial 16S ribosomal RNA". It matches the Rfam family "Bacterial small subunit ribosomal RNA", at positions 28 to 523 of the family's 1533-position model. The record is from RNAcentral.
AUUGAACGCUGGCGGCGUGGAUUAGGCAUGCAAGUCGUACGGAAAGGCCCCGCAAGGGGUACUCGAGCGGCGAAAGGGAUAGUAAUGCGUAGAUCACCUACCCCUGGGACCCGGAUAGCUGCGGGAAACUGCAAUUAAUACGGGAUGACGUCUGCGGACCAAAGGUGUAAUUCCGCCCGGGGAUGGGUCUGCGUCCUAUUAGCUUGUUGGUGAGGUAACGGCUCACCAAGGCGACGAUGGGUAGCGGGUGUGAGAGCACGACCCGCAUCACUGGGACUGAGACACUGCCCAGACACCUACGGGUGGCUGCAGUCGAGGAUCUUCGGCAAUGGGCGAAAGCCUGACCGAGCGACGCCGCGUGUGGGAUGAAGGCCCUCGGGUUGUAAACCACUGUCGGAGGGGAGGAAAUGCUGGGGGGAUCACCCCUCAGCUUGACCUAUCCUCGAAGGAAGGACGGGCUAAGUUCGUGCCAGCCGCCGCGGUAA